CAGUAGCCGCGGGAAAACGAAGGGGGCUAGCGUUGUUCGGAAUUACUGGGCGUAAAGCGCACGUAGGCGGAUCGAUCAGUCAGGGGUGAAAUCCCAGGGCUCAACCCUGGAACUGCCUUUGAUACUGUCGAUCUGGAGUAUGGAAGAGGUGAGUGGAAUUCCGAGUGUAGAGGUGAAAUUCGUAGAUAUUCGGAGGAACACCAGUGGCGAAGGCGGCUCACUGGUCCAUUACUGACGCUGAGGUGCGAAAGCGUGGGGAGCAAACAGGAUUAGAUACCCCGGUAGUCCCUGUCUCUUAUAC
This 301-nucleotide ribosomal RNA is filed under the name uncultured bacterium. RNAcentral's name for it is "partial 16S ribosomal RNA". It matches the Rfam family "Bacterial small subunit ribosomal RNA", at positions 509 to 807 of the family's 1533-position model. The record is from RNAcentral.